Pomacea canaliculata is the source of this 653-nucleotide long non-coding RNA. RefSeq lists it as uncharacterized. The record is from RefSeq and is a predicted model, not a curated record. The transcript has 6 exons. Lineage: Eukaryota; Metazoa; Mollusca; Gastropoda; Architaenioglossa; Ampullariidae.
CACAAGGCAACACCUUUAUAUGUACAUCUUGUCGUGAACAACGAUCACAAGGCGAUCUACGUUUGUUAAACUUUGGACCCUUCCACUCGUCAACUCAUUGUCACUGGAAACAUGUUGCUCCUGCUGCUUGCUGCAUCCCUGCCGCUGUGCUUCGGGGCAGAAGAACAUCAUUACCCUAACGUUACCGACGCCGUGCAUAUCCUGUUUGAGGACGCCGAUCGCAGCGGUGACGGGAUCCUGACUCUCAGAGAGUUUAUCGACAGCUACUAGCCUACGACCAUAACAACGAUGACAAAUUUCACAGACCGAGUUCGCCAACUACACUCAAGAGCUGGCGCCGGAGCUGCAUGGCUAGAGAAGGCGCUCUUCACGCUCUACGACUCUGACCACGACCAUCGCUUGGAGAUGGGCGACUUCGUCAGGUUUUAUGAGGCCAUCGACACCUCUGGUAAGGACCACGUGACUGAGGACCAAUACAAAGCCUACUUUAUCACGCUAUAUCGUCAGUUGAGUCGUGUGCCUGACAUUAUUGGAUGAGUUCAUUCAGCGUUGAUGGUUCUACUUCCCCCACACUUCCAGAAAAAUCUCACUACUGUUCAUCUGGAUGAUACAAAUCAACGCUUCUUGGAAACUAAACUGUCUUCACAUUAGGA